GGAGCCGGUCAGACAACCGCCGCCGUGAUGUACACGGGGGAGGAAAGUCCGGGCUCCGCAGGGCAGUGUGCCAGUUAACGGCUGGGCGGCGCGAGCCGACGGAAAGUGCAACAGAGAGCAAACCGCCGAUGGCCCCGCAAGGGGAUCAGGCAAGGGUGAAACGGUGCGGUAAGAGCGCACCGCGAGUCUGGCAACAGACCGGCACGGCAAACCCCACACGGAGCAAGGCCAAAUAGGGAAGGAGCUGCCGCAAGGCAGCAGGCGUGGCCCACGUCCCUUCCGGGUAGGCUGCUGGAACCCA
RNAcentral lists this RNase P RNA (301 nucleotides) under Nevskiaceae bacterium. Its description in RNAcentral is "Sinobacteraceae bacterium partial RNase P RNA component class A". It matches the Rfam family "Bacterial RNase P class A", at positions 1 to 288 of the family's 367-position model. Rfam says of the family: Ribonuclease P (RNase P) is a ubiquitous endoribonuclease, found in archaea, bacteria and eukarya as well as chloroplasts and mitochondria. Its best characterised activity is the generation of mature 5'-ends of tRNAs by cleaving the 5'-leader elements of precursor-tRNAs. Cellular RNase Ps are ribonucleoproteins. Lineage: Bacteria; Pseudomonadati; Pseudomonadota; Gammaproteobacteria; Nevskiales; Nevskiaceae. The record is from RNAcentral.